This 691-nucleotide ribosomal RNA is filed under the name uncultured Staphylococcus sp. RNAcentral's name for it is "bacterial SSU rRNA". It matches the Rfam family "Bacterial small subunit ribosomal RNA", at positions 68 to 741 of the family's 1533-position model. Lineage: Bacteria; Bacillati; Bacillota; Bacilli; Caryophanales; Staphylococcaceae. The record is from RNAcentral.
GAACAGACGAGGAGCUUGCUCCUCUGACGUUAGCGGCGGACGGGUGAGUAACACGUGGAUAACCUACCUAUAAGACUGGGAUAACUUCGGGAAACCGGAGCUAAUACCGGAUAAUAUAUUGAACCGUAUGGUUCAAUAGUGAAAGACGGUUUUGCUGUCACUUAUAGAUGGAUCCGCGCCGCAUUAGCUAGUUGGUAAGGUAACGGCUUACCAAGGCAACGAUGCGUAGCCGACCUGAGAGGGUGAUCGGCCACACUGGAACUGAGACACGGUCCAGACUCCUACGGGAGGCAGCAGUAGGGAAUCUUCCGCAAUGGGCGAAAGCCUGACGGAGCAACGCCGCGUGAGUGAUGAAGGUCUUCGGAUCGUAAAACUCUGUUAUUAGGGAAGAACAAAUGUGUAAGUAACUAUGCACGUCUUGACGGUACCUAAUCAGAAAGCCACGGCUAACUACGUGCCAGCAGCCGCGGUAAUACGUAGGUGGCAAGCGUUAUCCGGAAUUAUUGGGCGUAAAGCGCGCGUAGGCGGUUUUUUAAGUCUGAUGUGAAAGCCCACGGCUCAACCGUGGAGGGUCAUUGGAAACUGGAAAACUUGAGUGCAGAAGAGGAAAGUGGAAUUCCAUGUGUAGCGGUGAAAUGCGCAGAGACAUGGAGGAACACCAGUGGCGAAGGCGACUUUCUGGUCUGUAACU